This 397-nucleotide ribosomal RNA is filed under the name uncultured bacterium. Its description in RNAcentral is "partial 16S ribosomal RNA". It matches the Rfam family "Bacterial small subunit ribosomal RNA", at positions 523 to 918 of the family's 1533-position model. The record is from RNAcentral.
AUACGUAGGGGGCGAGCGUUGUCCGGAAUGACUGGGCGUAAAGGGCGUGUAGGCGGCCGAUUAAGUCUGGAGUGAAAGUCCUGCUUUCAAGGUGGGAAUUGCUUUGGAGACUGGUUGGCUUGAGUGCGGAAGAGGUAAGUGGAAUUCCCAGUGUAGCGGUGAAAUGCGUAGAGAUUGGGAGGAACACCAGUGGCGAAGGCGACUUACUGGGCCGUAACUGACGCUGAGGCGCGAAAGCGUGGGGAGCGAACAGGAUUAGAUACCCUGGUAGUCCACGCGGUAAACGAUGAAUGCUAGGUGUUGCGGGUAUCGACCCCUGCAGUGCCGGAGUAAACACAAUAAGCAUUCCGCCUGGGGAGUACGGCCGCAAGGUUGAAACUCAAAGGAAUUGACGGGG